UACGAAGGGGGGCUAGCGUUGUUCGGAUUUACUGGGCGUAAAGCGCACGUAGGCGGAUCGUUAAGUCGGGGGUGAAAUCCUGGAGCUCAACUCCAGAACUGCCUUCGAUACUGGCGAUCUUGAGUCCGGAAGAGGUGAGUGGAACUCCUAGUGUAGAGGUGGAAUUCGUAGAUAUUAGGAAGAACACCAGUGGCGAAGGCGGCUCACUGGUCCGGUACUGACGCUGAGGUGCGAAAGCGUGGGGAGCAAACAGGG
Molecule: ribosomal RNA, 255 nt
Filed under: uncultured bacterium
Lineage: Bacteria
Description: partial 16S ribosomal RNA
Rfam family: Bacterial small subunit ribosomal RNA
Source: RNAcentral